AUGCACGAGCACACCCUGGCCAGGGCGUGGGAGGCGACGGUGCGCAAGGUGCAGCAGCAUCCGCAGCCCGGGGGCAGGCGCCGGGUGGCCCCCAUGCUGCCCGCCGACGACUCCGAGACGGCCUCCUCCUCGGCCUCCUCCUCCGCGGGCGUCGACGAUGCCGACCACCACGGUCCGGAGGAGUACGUCGAGCGCGGCCUCCCCAACGGGGACUUCUACACGGGGCAGUGGCGCGCCGGCGCGCCGCACGGCGCCGGGAAGUACCUGUGGAAGGACGGGUGCAUGUACGAGGGGGAGUGGCGGCACGGCAAGGCCACGGGCCGGGGCAAGUUCUCCUGGCCCUCCGGCGCCACCUACGAGGGCGAGUUCAAGGACGGCUUCAUGGACGGCGGCGGCACCUACACCGGCGCCGCCGGGGACACCUACAAGGGAGCCUGGUCCAUGAACCUCAAGCACGGCGACGGCAGGAAGAGCUACGCCAACGGCGACCAGUACGACGGCGAGUGGCGCUCCGGCCUGCAGGACGGCGCCGGCCGCUACAUCUGGCGCAACGGGACCGAGUACACCGGGCAGUGGCGGGCCGGCCUCAUCCACGGCCGCGGCGCGCUCACCUGGGCCAACGGCAACCGCUACGACGGCGGCUGGGAGGACGGCUGCCCGCGCGGCCAGGGCACCUUCCGAUGGGCCGACGGCAGCGUCUACGUCGGCUUCUGGACGCGAGAUGGCCCCAACGGCAUUGUCCAGCAGAAGGGCGUCUACUACCCUUCCCCGGCGGCGUCCUCCCCGACGGCGCGCGACCCCCGCGACGAGUUCGCGAGGGAAUUGCCGGGCUUCAUGGCCGCCGCCGGCGCCCCCGAGUCCACGCCGCUGCAGAGGCCGCUCAACAGCUCGGGCAACCGGACGGCCAAUGGGCGGGCGAGCUCGGUGUCCGGGAUGAGCAAUUGCUCCGGCGGCGACCGGAAGUACGACAAGAUUUGCAUCUGGGAGUCGGACGGCGAUAUCACCUGCGACAUUGUGGACGGGGCCGCCCUGGUCGACGACGCGCGGAGGAGCGUGAGGACGGAGGACGGCGCGGAGGGCGGGGAGCUUCUGCCGCCGCCGUCCCCGGCACCGCGCAUCGCCAAGUGGGUGUCCCCGCGGCAGGCGAAGCAGCAGGGGGAGACCAUCGUCAAGGGGCACAAGCACUACGAGCUCAUGCUCAACUUGCAGCUCGGCAUCAGGCAUGCAGUUGGGAAGCAAGGUCCGGUUACGCUUGAGCUGAAAUCAUCGGCAUUCGAUCCCAAGGAAAAAGUGUGGACAAAGUUCCCUCAGGAAGGCUCGAAACACACUCCGCGGCACAAUUCUUGCGACUUCAGAUGGAAGGAUUACUGCCCACAGGUGUUCCGGACAUUGCGCAAGCUGUUCAAGGUGGAUGCUGCUGACUACAUGUUGUCACUCUGUGGAAGCGAGGCUCUCCGGGAGCUCUCGUCUCCGGGUAAGAGUGGAAGCUUCUUCUACCUAACAAACGAUGACCGGUACAUGAUAAAGACGAUGAAGAAAUCAGAAGUGAAGAUGCUUUUGAAGAUGCUUCCAGCUUACUACAAUCAUGUCCGUGCAUUUGAGGAUACUCUAGUGACCAAAUUUUUUGGUCUACAUUGUGUCAAGUUAGCCGGCGCAAAUCAGAAGAAGGUUCGCUUUGUCAUAAUGGGGAAUCUAUUCUGCUCUCAUAAUUCUAUCCAUAGGCGUUUUGAUCUCAAAGGCUCGUCUCUUGGCCGCACAACUGACAAGCCACAAACUGAAAUUGACCAGUAUACAACUCUGAAAGACCUUGAUCUAAAUUUCAUAUUUAGAUUAAAGAAGCAAUGGUUUCAAGAGUUCCAAAGGCAAGUGGACAGGGAUUGUGAUUUCCUUGAGCAAGAGAAGAUUAUGGAUUACAGUCUCCUGGUGGGGGUACAUUUUAGGCAUAAUGGAGAGAAGCUUAUGACUGAAGGUUGCACUGACAAUGAUACCAACAGUGUAUCAACACUUCGGCUUUCAAGAGGAUACACGGAUCAAUUUCUUGCUGAUCCAAAUGGGAUGUCUAAAAUCAAACUUGGGACAAGUAUGCCUGCAAGAGCAGAACUGACUGCUAGGAAAAAUGACUGCGAGCCGCAGCUCAUUGGAGAGCCAACCGGGGAAUACUACGAUGUUAUACUGUAUUUUGGGAUCAUAGACAUACUCCAAGAUUAUGACAUCAGCAAAAGGCUUGAGCAUGCGUAUAAAUCUUUCCAGUACGACCCGACCUCGAUAUCGGCAGUGGAUCCAAGGCAGUAUUCCAGACGUUUUAAGGAUUUCAUAUACAAAGCAUUUCAAGAGGACAGCUGA
Molecule: ribosomal RNA, 2343 nt
Filed under: Triticum aestivum (bread wheat)
Lineage: Eukaryota; Viridiplantae; Streptophyta; Magnoliopsida; Poales; Poaceae
Description: partial small subunit ribosomal RNA
Source: RNAcentral